UCCGAAACGGGACUCAAGGUCUUGAAAAAUGACCACAAAUGACAGAUCUGGCAUGUCUGAGUAUUUUAAGCAUAUCUCUCUUGAUCGAGAUCCGAUUUUGAUGAUUCAAAAUGUUCCGAACAGCCAAUAGAAAAUGCUACAAGUUUCGUAUUUUGCAUUUUCUGAAAUUCGGACAUUAUCAUAUCCAAAACAGACAUAGAAGUACAGACUCGUGAAUUGCACGAAAAAUCACCUACAACAAAAGUAAGAUGGUUAAUAUUUUAUCAAUUCAAAACAAGAAUAAAAUAUUUAAAAUCAACUCCCUUUCAUCUUCUGCUAAGGAGUCAUCUUCCUUGGACCAUCUUCACUCGAAAAUUUAGGUAGAACAAUCGUGCUGAUAACGUGUUAUAAAACAAGAGAAAAACAAGAAGAGAACAAGUGUGUGUAUGUAUUGUAU
This 436-nucleotide long non-coding RNA is filed under the name Erythranthe guttata (spotted monkey flower). Its description in RNAcentral is "long non-coding RNA (EGUT_LNC003237)". The record is from RNAcentral. Lineage: Eukaryota; Viridiplantae; Streptophyta; Magnoliopsida; Lamiales; Phrymaceae.